Molecule: ribosomal RNA, 481 nt
Filed under: uncultured bacterium
Lineage: Bacteria
Description: bacterial SSU rRNA
Rfam family: Bacterial small subunit ribosomal RNA
Source: RNAcentral
GUCGUCAGCUCGUGUCGUGAGAUGUUGGGUUAAGUCCCGCAACGAGCGCAACCCUUAAGCUUAGUUGCCAGCAUUAAGUUGGGCACUCUAAGUUGACUGCCGGUGACAAACCGGAGGAAGGUGGGGAUGACGUCAAAUCAUCAUGCCCCUUAUGAUUUGGGCUACACACGUGCUACAAUGGACAAUACAAAGGGCAGCUAAACCGCGAGGUCAUGCAAAUCCCAUAAAGUUGUUCUCAGUUCGGAUUGUAGUCUGCAACUCGACUACAUGAAGCUGGAAUCGCUAGUAAUCGUAGAUCAGCAUGCUACGGUGAAUACGUUCCCGGGUCUUGUACACACCGCCCGUCACACCACGAGAGUUUGUAACACCCGAAGCCGGUGGAGUAACCAUUUAUGGAGCUAGCCGUCGAAGGUGGGACAAAUGAUUGGGGUGAAGUCGUAACAAGGUAGCCGUAUCGGAAGGUGCGGUUGGAUCACCUCCA